GAAGGUAUACCCACAUGGUAGAGUGCAUGCCUAGCAUGCACGAGGUCCUGGGUUCAAUCCCCAGUACCUCCA
RNAcentral lists this transfer RNA (72 nucleotides) under Camelus bactrianus (Bactrian camel). It matches the Rfam family "tRNA". From Rfam's summary of the family: Transfer RNA (tRNA) molecules are approximately 80 nucleotides in length. RNAcentral also lists the same sequence under 2 other names. Lineage: Eukaryota; Metazoa; Chordata; Mammalia; Artiodactyla; Camelidae. The record is from Rfam by way of RNAcentral.